This 84-nucleotide small RNA is filed under the name Arabidopsis thaliana (thale cress). RNAcentral's name for it is "ATSL117130". Lineage: Eukaryota; Viridiplantae; Streptophyta; Magnoliopsida; Brassicales; Brassicaceae. The record is from RNAcentral.
UUCUUCUUGCAUUCUCUUCCCAAUCCAAUUCUUCUUCUUCUUCAUCUUCUUCUUCUAUGCUUCUUCUGCUCCAAGAGUUGUCUA